AUUGAACGCUGGCGGCAGGCCUAACACAUGCAAGUCGGACGGUAGCACAGAGGAGCUUGCUCCUCGGGUGACGAGUGGCGGACGGGUGAGUAAUGUCUGGGGAUCUGCCCGAUAGAGGGGGAUAACCACUGGAAACGGUGGCUAAUACCGCAUAACGUCGCAAGACCAAAGAGGGGGACCUUCGGGCCUCUCACUAUCGGAUGAACCCAGAUGGGAUUAGCUAGUAGGCGGGGUAACGGCCCACCGAGGCGACGAUCCCUAGCUGGUCUGAGAGGCUGACCAGCCACACUGGAACUGAGACACGGUCCAGACUCCUACGGGAGGCAGCAGUGGGGAAUAUUGCACAAUGGGCGCAAGCCUGAUGCAGCCAUGCCGCGUGUAUGAAGAAGGCCUUCGGGUUGUAAAGUACUUUCAGCGGUGAGGAAGGCGAUGUGGUUAAUAACCGCAUUGAUUGACGUUACCCGCAGAAGAAGCACCGGCUAACUCCGUGCCAGCCGCCGCAGUAA
This 506-nucleotide ribosomal RNA is filed under the name uncultured bacterium. RNAcentral describes it as "partial 16S ribosomal RNA". It matches the Rfam family "Bacterial small subunit ribosomal RNA", at positions 29 to 523 of the family's 1533-position model. The record is from RNAcentral.